This 512-nucleotide ribosomal RNA is filed under the name uncultured bacterium. RNAcentral's name for it is "bacterial SSU rRNA". It matches the Rfam family "Bacterial small subunit ribosomal RNA", at positions 8 to 518 of the family's 1533-position model. The record is from RNAcentral.
AGAGUUUGAUCAUGGCUCAGGAUGAACGCUGGCGGCGUGCCUAACACAUGCAAGUCGAACGGGAACAUGACGCUACGGAGAUUUCGGUCAAUGUUGUUGUGUUUAGUGGCGGACGGGUGAGUAACGCGUGGAUAACCUGCCUUAUACCGGGGGAUAACAGUUAGAAAUGACUGCUAAUACCGCAUAAGCGCACAGUCUCGCAUGGGACAGUGUAGAAAAACUCAGGUGAUAUAAGAUGGAUCCGCGUCUGAUUAGUUAGUUGGCGGGGUAACGGCCCACCAAGACCGCGAUCAGUAGCCGGCCUGAGAGGGUGAACGGCCACAUUGGGACUGAGACACGGCCCAAACUCCUACGGGAGGCAGCAGGUGGGGAUAUUGCACAAUGGGGGAAACCCUGAUGCAAGCGACGCCGCGUGAGUGAAGAAGUAUUUAGGUAUGUAAAGCUCUAUCAGCAGGGAAGAAAAUGACGGUACCUGACUAAGAAGCACCGGCUAAAUACGUGCCAGCAGCCGC